RNAcentral lists this ribosomal RNA (452 nucleotides) under uncultured Smithella sp. Its description in RNAcentral is "bacterial SSU rRNA". It matches the Rfam family "Bacterial small subunit ribosomal RNA", at positions 927 to 1382 of the family's 1533-position model. Lineage: Bacteria; Pseudomonadati; Thermodesulfobacteriota; Syntrophia; Syntrophales; Smithellaceae. The record is from RNAcentral.
AAGCGGUGGAGCAUUGUGGUUUAAUUCGAAGCAACGCGAAGAACCUUACCAGGUCUUGACAUCCGAUGCUAUUUCUAGAGAUAGAAAGUUACUUCGGUACAUCGGUGACAGGUGGUGCAUGGUUGUCGUCAGCUCGUGUCGUGAGAUGUUGGGUUAAGUCCCGCAACGAGCGCAACCCUUAUCUUUAAUUGCCACCAUUCAGUUGGGCACUUUAAGAGACUGCCGGUGUUAAACCGGAGGAAGGUGGGAUGACGUCAAGUCCUCAUGGCCUUUAUGCUUAGGGCUACACACGUGCUACAAUGGGUAGUACAAAGAGAAGCCAACUCGCGAGAGUGAGCAAAUCUCAAAAAGCUAUCCUAAGUUCGGAUUGAAGUCUGCAACUCGACUUCAUGAAGCUGGAAUCGCUAGUAAUCGCGGAUCAGCAUGCCGCGGUGAAUACGUUCCCGGGCCUU